RNAcentral lists this ribosomal RNA (471 nucleotides) under uncultured prokaryote. RNAcentral describes it as "bacterial SSU rRNA". It matches the Rfam family "Bacterial small subunit ribosomal RNA", at positions 387 to 810 of the family's 1533-position model. The record is from RNAcentral.
GGCAGCGACCCAGCCCACUUGCAUGUAUGUGUGGUACCCUCUAUAGUGUUACUAGGUGUCGCGGGUACUGCAUCCAAAAGGUCGUCUCAGGAGUACGAAGAAACUCCCGGGUGUAAAUAACACUUGGGCCUGACGGUACCCUCAAAGGAAGCACCGGCUAACUCCGUGCCAGCAGCCGCGGUAAUACGGAGGGUGCAAGCGUUGUUCGGAAUUAUUGGGCGUAAAGCGCGUGUAGGCGGUUGUUUAAGUCUGAUGUGAAAGCCCUGGGCUCAACCCGGGAAGUGCAUUGGAAACUGGGCAACUUGAGUACGGGAGAGGGUAGUGGAAUUCCGAGUGUAGGGGUGAAAUCCGUAGAUAUUCGGAGGAACACCGGUGGCGAAGGCGGCUACCUGGACCGAUACUGACGCUGAGACGCGAAAGCGUGGGGAGCAAACAGGAUUAGAUACCCUGGUAGUCCACGCCGUAAACGAU